RNAcentral lists this ribosomal RNA (468 nucleotides) under uncultured bacterium. RNAcentral describes it as "partial 16S ribosomal RNA". It matches the Rfam family "Bacterial small subunit ribosomal RNA", at positions 28 to 507 of the family's 1533-position model. The record is from RNAcentral.
GACGAACGCUGGCGGCGUGCUUAACACAUGCAAGUCGAACGGAAAGGCCCUGCUUUUGUGGGGUGCUCGAGUGGCGAACGGGUGAGUAACACGUGAGUAACCUGCCCUUGACUUUGGGAUAACUUCAGGAAACUGGGGCUAAUACCGGAUAGGAGCUCCUGCUGCAUGGUGGGGGUUGGAAAGUUUCGGCGGUUGGGGAUGGACUCGCGGCUUAUCAGCUUGUUGGUGGGGUAGUGGCUUACCAAGGCUUUGACGGGUAGCCGGCCUGAGAGGGUGAACGGCGAAAAUGGGACUGAGAUACGGCCCAGACUCCUACGGGAGGCAGCAGUGGGGAAUAUUGCACAAUGGGCGGAAGCCUGAUGCAGCAACGCAGCGUGCGGGAUGACGGCCUUCGGGUUGUAAACCGCUUUCGCCUGUGACGAAGCGUGAGUGACGGUAAUGGGUAAAGAAGCACCGGCUAACUACGUG